AUUGAGCGCUGGCGGCAGGCCUAACACAUGCAAGUCGAACGGUAACAGAAAGCAGCUUGCUGCUUUGCUGACGAGUGGCGGACGGGUGAGUAAUGUCUGGGAAACUGCCUGAUGGAGGGGGAUAACUACUGGAAACGGUAGCUAAUACCGCAUAACGUCGCAAGACCAAAGAGGGGGACCUUCGGGCCUCUUGCCAUCGGAUGUGCCCAGAUGGGAUUAGCUAGUAGGUGGGGUAACGGCUCACCUAGGCGACGAUCCCUAGCUGGUCUGAGAGGAUGACCAGCCACACUGGAACUGAGACACGGUCCAGACUCCUACGGGAGGCAGCAGUGGGGAAUAUUGCACAAUGGGCGCAAGCCUGAUGCAGCCAUGCCGCGUGUAUGAAGAAGGCCUUCGGGUUGUAAAGUACUUUCAGCGGGGAGGAAGGGAGUAAAGUUAAUACCUUUGCUCAUUGACGUUACCCGCAGAAGAAGCACCGGCUAACUCCGU
This 489-nucleotide ribosomal RNA is filed under the name uncultured bacterium. RNAcentral describes it as "partial 16S ribosomal RNA". It matches the Rfam family "Bacterial small subunit ribosomal RNA", at positions 30 to 506 of the family's 1533-position model. The record is from RNAcentral.